AGAGAUAAAGCCAAACCCGCCGCGAGGCGGGGACGGAAAGCCACGGGCCUCACGCAGGCGGCCGGGUUGCCUGGG
Molecule: non-coding RNA, 75 nt
Organism: Pseudodesulfovibrio indicus
Lineage: Bacteria; Pseudomonadati; Thermodesulfobacteriota; Desulfovibrionia; Desulfovibrionales; Desulfovibrionaceae
Source: Rfam